AGUAGAAUGGCUGAGAGUAAGGUGAUAGAUUGUAAAUCUAUGUAGGAGUUUAAUAACUCUUCUACUA
This 67-nucleotide transfer RNA is filed under the name Ectobiidae sp. BB. RNAcentral's name for it is "tRNA-Tyr". It matches the Rfam family "tRNA". From Rfam's summary of the family: Transfer RNA (tRNA) molecules are approximately 80 nucleotides in length. Their secondary structure includes four short double-helical elements and three loops (D, anti-codon, and T loops). The record is from RNAcentral. Lineage: Eukaryota; Metazoa; Arthropoda; Insecta; Blattodea; Ectobiidae.